ACGAAGGGGUCUCUCUUCCCCCGGCCUCCCUGGGCGUAAAGGGCGCGUAGGCGGCCGAUUAAGUCGCGACUGAAAGCCUGUGGCUCAACCACAGAAUUGCCUUCGAUACUGGUUGGCUUGAGACCGGAAGAGGACAGCGGAACUGCGAGUGUAGAGGUGAAAUUCGUAGAUAUUCGCAAGAACACCAGUGGCGAAGGCGGCUGUCUGGUCCGGUUCUGACGCUGAGGCGCGAAAGCGUGGGGAGCAAACAG
RNAcentral lists this ribosomal RNA (251 nucleotides) under uncultured prokaryote. RNAcentral describes it as "partial 16S rRNA". It matches the Rfam family "Bacterial small subunit ribosomal RNA", at positions 525 to 775 of the family's 1533-position model. The record is from RNAcentral.